UGCUAAUGACGGUACCUGAAGAAUAAGCACCGGCUAACUACGUGCCAGCAGCCGCGGUAAUACGUAGGGUGCAAGCGUUAAUCGGAAUUACUGGGCGUAAAGCGUGCGCAGGCGGUUUUGUAAGACUGUCGUGAAAUCCCCGGGCUCAACCUGGGAAUGGCGAUGGUGACUGCAAGGCUAGAGUUUGGCAGAGGGGGGUAGAAUUCCACGUGUAGCAGUGAAAUGCGUAGAUAUGUGGAGGAACACCGAUGGCGAAGGCAGCCCCCUGGGUCAAAACUGACGCUCAUGCACGAAAGCGUGGGGAGCAAACAGGAUUAGAUACCCUGGUAGUCCACGCCCUAAACGAUGUCUACUAGUUGUCGGGUCUUAAUUGACUUGGUAACGCAGCUAACGCGUGAAGUAGACCGCCUGGGGAGUACGGUCGCAAGAUUAAAACUCAAAGGAAUUGACGGGGACCCGCACAAGCGGUGGAUGAUGUGGAUUAAUUCGAUGCAACGCGAAAAACCUUACCUACCCUUGACAUGG
Molecule: ribosomal RNA, 525 nt
Filed under: Duganella vulcania
Lineage: Bacteria; Pseudomonadati; Pseudomonadota; Betaproteobacteria; Burkholderiales; Oxalobacteraceae
Description: bacterial SSU rRNA
Rfam family: Bacterial small subunit ribosomal RNA
Source: RNAcentral